GACGAACGCUGGCGGCGUGCUUAACACAUGCAAGUCGAACGGAAAGGCACUGCUUGUGUGGGGUGCUCGAGUGGCGAACGGGUAAGGAACACGUGAGUAACCUGCCCUAGACUUUGGGAUAACUUCAGGAAACUGGGGCUAAUACCGGACAGCAGCCCCCGCUGCAGGGAGGGGGUUGGAAAGUUUCGGCGGUCGGGGAUGGACUCGCGGCUGAUCAGCUUGCUGGUGGGGUAGUGGCAUACCCAGGCUUGGACGGGUAGCCGGCCUGAGAGGGUGACCGGCCACAUUGGGCCUGAGAUACGGACCAGACUGCUACGUGAGGCAGCAGUGGGAAGUCUUGCACAAUGGGCCGAAGCCUGAUGCGGCAACGCCGCGUUCGGGAUGCCGGCCUUCGGGUUGAAAACCGCUUUCGCCUGUGACGACGCGUGAGUGACGGUACUGGGUAAAGAAGCACCGGCUAACUACGUG
This 468-nucleotide ribosomal RNA is filed under the name uncultured bacterium. RNAcentral describes it as "partial 16S ribosomal RNA". It matches the Rfam family "Bacterial small subunit ribosomal RNA", at positions 28 to 507 of the family's 1533-position model. The record is from RNAcentral.